Molecule: ribosomal RNA, 648 nt
Filed under: Triticum aestivum (bread wheat)
Lineage: Eukaryota; Viridiplantae; Streptophyta; Magnoliopsida; Poales; Poaceae
Description: partial small subunit ribosomal RNA
Source: RNAcentral
AUGGUUUUAUCAUCGGACACCAGCAAGUGGCAGAUUUUCCCAUGGGUAGACAUUGAUGGGCUCUGGCCUCAAACUGCUAAGCUGGUGAAUGGCUGCAUCUAUUGGACCAUUGGGAUGAAUGAUGCCCGUGUGCUUAACACUGCUACAAUGCAAUUCUCUCGGAUGGAUAAGCCGCCGCGCAGGAGAGGGAAUGAGAUAUUGACGGCUGGUAAGACCAAGGAUGGAAGACUCUGUGUGGUCUGCGCACCUUUGGGGCCACUGACAUUCGAAUCCGUGCUUGCUGUUUGGAUUCGGAGAGCCGAUGACGAUGGCGUCGAGAGGUGGAUGUUGGAUAAGUCACUCCCGUUGCAGGAGAUAGCUGGAAUCGUUCGGUGCGAAUUCAAGGAAGACAAUGUUAAAUAUCAAGUGACUGUUAGGACGAUUAUCGAUGGAUUUGUGUACUUCUCUGCUUAUUGUGGGGUGUGGCAGCAUCAUCAUUCGACACUCUGGCUCCUAUCCUUCUGCUUGGAAACAGCGGCGCUGAACAAGCUUGGGCGUAUCCUUAGUGGUGUUUCCUAUCCCUACAUCAUGCCGUGGCCUUGUUCUUUGGUUGGUACACAGCAAGCAAACCAGCUUAUCCAGUUAAAGACACACAAUUCUCUUCUGUGA